UAGGGUUCAGUUGGGAAUAUUAUGUAUGAAAUGAAUUAGGAUUUGUCGUGCAAGGGCACAACCCUCAUGUUAAUGUGCAUGAUGUGGAGUCUCACUUUGGUGAGGAGGAACAUGGUAGUAAUUUCACAAGUGUAUUGCCUUGUUGAUCACAAGUCCUAAAGCAUUUAAAAUAAGAUUGUUUUGGUUGUCGUUUAUUAAUUGUAUGUGUGCAUGUUGGUGAGUCUUGAGUUCGCCUUUAAUAAAAUAUUAAUAAACGUAAAGUGCAACCAGAACAAGCUUCAAAACUCUUGGAACGUAUAUACCUUGAGUAUGAACAAUGGGGGGAGUAUUGCCGGAAAGCUCAUACUCCUACUAAUGAUACAAGACGUUGUUUCAUUUAUAUUAUGCGCAGGAAUUCCGUCGGUAUGGCCCGACACUCGGUAUGGCCCGAUUUUAUUAUUAUAUAUUUGGUGUAUGGUUGGCUCCCAUCACCUUUUCCCUUUGUGGAUUAUUCUUUUGGCCUGUUUUAAGCUUAUUUCUAAUUAAAUUGUGAGUCAAGAGUCGAGUCUUGUAUUCAGGAUUGAUUGUUUAUUAUUGUAUGGCUUUUGCAUGUUGACUAGUACUUAGUGAGUGAUGCAUGUUUUAGUUUCAUUCACUUUAUGCUUGUAAGUACUCAGCUUUUGCUGACUACGUGCUUUGUGUGUUUUGGUCAUGGCCUUUGCCUUAAUGACCCUAUGAUGAUCUAUCAUUUGCACUUGCAUUGAUGGGGAGUAGAAUAAAAUAGCAGGUUGGUAGAUCGGAAUCAUGUGGCUUGGGAUGAUCGAGAGAGUUGCAUGUUUUCGUAUUUUGAACUAUUUAAUAAUACUUUAACUAUGUUUGAAAUGUUUGAAACUAUUUAUGUUUUGGGUUUUGGGCCAUUAUGGUUCCAAAUUGUAGGAGGCCUCAAUAUUUCAUUAAUUAUGUUUUUUAAAAAGUUAGUUGACAUUUAAUUCCGCUGCGUAAUUCUGGUAAUAGCCUUAACCGUUAUCACGGUGGCGGUACUACUUUAGUAAUUCCUUUAUUUUAAGUUGGAAAAAGCAAGGAAUUAUUAGGGUGUUACAUAACUUUACUUGGGUUGAAUGAAGAAUCGAAGAGUUCAGAUAACUUAGCUUUGAUAUGUGACUGCAAAUUCAGGGCUAGCAGACCAAGUGCUUCAUCAGAACAUAAUGAUAAGAGUUCCUUUACACUUAAGUCUCUCUAAAAGAAUGAGAGUAAUCGUUUAACCUAUUGUCUGGUUAAUUGACCGUGCAUUAUCUCAGACUCCCGAAGCACUCAAGCUAUAUAUGUCAUUCAAUUAAUAUGAUUUUAAAAUUAGACACAACAUUCAUAUCCCUGAUUCCUGUUAGUUAGUUCUGGUUAAUAUUUUAGACCGGUUAGCCAGUUCUGGUUAAUAUUUUACCACAAGCCCCAUUUUCGCAUGAAUCUAACUUGAUUGUUUUGUUAAUUUUCAGAAACUUGAAGCUUACGCACAUGCUGCAGAGCUCUUUAGAUUAGUCCUAGAGCUGCAGACUUGGGGGAGACUUUAUGCUCCCUGAAUUUUGCUAGUCGAAUCGAAUAUGGUCCAGCUCGCAAGUAGACAGAUUUUUCUGAGCUCCUCAAGUAUAAACAUCUGGCUAAGAAAUCAAAGCAUGAUGAAAAACAAGCAAAGAAACUUCAGGACAAUGUACAAUCUUUGCAGCUAAUUAAGACUUUCUGCCAUAGAGCAUAUCUGCAGAAAUCUCCAAGAGAAGGCGAAGUUUUUGACUUGGUUGCUCCUCUCCAAGGUGCACGAACUGUCACAGCAAUAAGCAAGCAUGCUGGCAGCCUUGUAGCAGCUUCAGAAUGGCAGCAACAGCUUAGCAUUAGCAGCACAGCCACAACAACAAGGCACACACAAUAGCUGUGCACUCAGCUUCGUUGCAGCCAGGUUCGAACUCUUUACAGCAGCCCUUAGUGCUCACUUGAGUGCCUUGAUUCAAUCCUUGUAGCAUCACAACAGCACAUCAGCAAUUAGAAAAAGCCAACACACAAGCAGCACCCUACACAGCAGCCACAGCAGCACGCUACACAGCAGCAACACAACACAAGAACAACAGCUAUGCACACAUCACUUGCCUUGGUUGAUGUUGAUUAAUCCUUGCUGCUGCUCUCCAAAUUCCUCGAGCUUUUAAAUGCCUUUACAGCAGCAACUAAGGGGGUUAUCAGCUACAGCUCAAGCAGAAUAUCGCAGCAGAUCAGCCACAGCAACGAGCAAGAAGAAUAGCAGCCAAAGCAACACGCAAAAAAAACAGCAAGGGCUGUAGCUGUGCGAGCACACAGCUAUUCUGUGCGGCCACACAGCUUCUGUGCGAGCACACAGCUCUGCCCGUGCGACCACACAAAUCUGCAAAAAUGAAUCAGUAGCUCAGUGGUAUUUGGUGCGAGCGCACGGCUUCUCUUGUGCGAUCGCACAGCUGUGCGGAGAGCUUUAAAUACGAAAUCGCAGCAAUGAGUUUUACGUAAUUUCAUUUUCUAAUUUUCAUUUCUUAGGAUUAGCUUAGAAUUCUAGAGAGAGAAUUAGUUUAGGGCUUAGAUUAGAGAUUAGGAUUAGGAUUCUUAGCUUCAAAUUCUUCAAUUCUUAGUGAAUUCAAUCAUAAAAUUUCAGAUUUCUUUUCUCUUUCCUUUGAGCUUUGUUCUUCAUUUUUGUUCUUCAAGUUUGAUGAAUU
Long non-coding RNA from Spinacia oleracea (spinach), 2702 nucleotides. RefSeq lists it as uncharacterized. The record is from RefSeq and is a predicted model, not a curated record. NCBI's taxonomy places the organism in Eukaryota, Viridiplantae, Streptophyta, Magnoliopsida, Caryophyllales, Amaranthaceae. The transcript is spliced from 4 exons.